RNAcentral lists this ribosomal RNA (426 nucleotides) under uncultured Actinomycetes bacterium. RNAcentral's name for it is "bacterial SSU rRNA". It matches the Rfam family "Bacterial small subunit ribosomal RNA", at positions 958 to 1385 of the family's 1533-position model. The record is from RNAcentral. Lineage: Bacteria; Bacillati; Actinomycetota; Actinomycetes.
AACGCGAAGAACCUUACCUGGGUUGAACUACGCAGGAAAAGCCGUAGAGAUACGGUGUCCGCAAGGGCCUGCGAUAGGUGGUGCAUGGCUGUCGUCAGCUCGUGUCGUGAGAUGUUGGGUUAAGUCCCGCAACGAGCGCAACCCUUGUCCUAUGUUGCCAGCGGGUAAUGCCGGGGACUCGUAGGAGACUGCCGGGGUCAACUCGGAGGAAGGUGGGGAUGACGUCAAGUCAUCAUGCCCCUUACGUCCAGGGCUGCACACAUGCUACAAUGGCCGAUACAAAGGGCUGCUAUUCCGCGAGGAUGAGCGAAUCCCAAAAAGUCGGUCUCAGUUCGGAUCGCAGUCUGCAACUCGACUGCGUGAAGUCGGAGUCGCUAGUAAUCCCGGAUCAGCAACGCCGGGGUGAAUACGUUCCCGGGCCUUGUA